RNAcentral lists this long non-coding RNA (1552 nucleotides) under Brachypodium distachyon (stiff brome). RNAcentral's name for it is "long non-coding RNA (BDIS_LNC001519)". Lineage: Eukaryota; Viridiplantae; Streptophyta; Magnoliopsida; Poales; Poaceae. The record is from RNAcentral.
AAGUUUUAUGAGCAACAGAAGAUGAGAGGUGGGUUUUCUGUUGUCAAGCAUGUCUAUUGCUGCCUAUUUUACGUAUAUAAUGAAUUUGCAACUAUGCCUGCAUGUCUGAAUCCAACACAAGAACUUCAGGACGGCUUAAAGGCAGUUUAGGUACUUAAGGGAUCACUUGCGGGUUCCCAAGGUGCUUUAGGUAUAUUUUUUUGCAGAGAUUGGCAGUUGAUGAUGUGUAUAUUGCCGUUUUAUUUUCCAGUAUACUAUUCGUUUAUUUUAGAAGGUUUCCAGAGCUGUAUUGCUGAAAUCCAAAGGGGUAGUGCAGAGCAGCACUUCAAACUCCACUGAGGUAUUAACACCUUGGACUGUGCAUUCUUUGAAUUUAUGGUUCUUCCUCUCCAUUUGUUGUGCUAAAUUUUUGACCCUUAAGAAUUGCAGAUCAGUACAUUCAAUAACACUUCAGAAUUGAUUUCUGUUAUUCAUUCAUUUAGGUUACAUCCAAUAACACAUAAUUGAUAAACAAAUGUUUCCUUUCAAAAGUAGAAGUUGUGGCCUUUUUAAGCAUACCUUCUUUGCUUAGGGCCAUGGCUGGGUUGUCGUAAAAUUACUUGAAAGAACCAUCCCAUGGAACUCAGAUUCUAUACUUUCUGUUGUUUCAAUUAUUUUAUUACAAGGGCAGUUGUUUGGUAGAAUCUCUUGUGAAGUAACAUUCCUCAUAAAUCUUGGCAAUUGCUACUUUUUACCAUCUGAACUAAAAGUCUCUCUAAAUUCUGGUGAUUUAUUUGAGAACCUAAUGAAAUUCGUGUCUUUUUACUGCUUAAUUUCUACAUCUACAUGCCUUCGAUUGUGGGCAUAAAUGGAGGGAGAAUCAUGAUCUGAGAGUGUAGGUAAUACUCAAAGAGUAACACUGUUUUCAGAACUUGAGUAUAUGAUUUUCGGAAUGUUAGGGUAGAUUCCUAGGUUACUUCCCCUUCGACUAUUCCUGUCAUCUCAAAAUUUGAUAGGAAUCUGUUAAAUCAAGGCAUACUCAAAACUUCAUUACGAGUCAAAAGUAUGCAUGCUUCUGCAAAGGGGAAGUAAUUAUCAAUACAAGAACUUGCUUUUUUCUCUCUUUUUUACCAAUCUUCAUUUAGUGUUUGAUUUUAAACAUCAGCCGGAUUUCCUCAUCUGAUGUGGUUCGGAGUAGACGGAUAACACAAUGGCGUGGUCAUUCAUCUUCCUGGUCCAAGUAUGUAGGACUUAUUCACUCUUAAAAUAGUGCUUGCACUUGCUAAUCAGAUGUUGAUUUUCCUUACUGUAUCAUACCAUUUUGUCUGUUAAUAUUGGUCCACCUGUCUGACGUAAUAUGGAUGAAAAGACUGGCUUGCAAACUCAAAAUUCAGUCCUUAUUUGAUUGAUCUUUACGGAGCUAAUGUAAAACUUUUCAUGUUUGCAACGAAGCAGAUGGAUGAACCUGGAUCGAGGGCAAGCGGCAUGAGGAGAUCUGCAGUCAUCCACCCCGAGUUGACUAGCAUGCGGAGACCUACUGAGCUGCUCUCUCUCACUCUCUCUUGAGCAAAAC